GGAGGGUGCAAGCGUUACCCGGAAUUAUUGGGCGUAAAGCGUCCGCAGGGCGGGUUUUUUAAGUCGAAUAUUAAAUCUCGGAGCCCAACUUCGAGGCCGUGUUCGAAACUGAAAAACUAGAGUUUUCCAGAGGCAAGCGGAAUUCUGUGUGUAGGGGUAAAAUCCGUAGAUACACAGAGGAACACCAAAAGCGAAGGCAGCUUGCUGGGGAAAUACUGACGCUCAUGGACGAAAGCGUGGGUAGCGAACGGGAUUAGAUACCCCGGUAGUCCACGCCGUAAACGAUGGAUACUAGUUGUUGGAGGACUCGAACCCUUCAGUGACGACGCUAACGCAUUAAGUAUCCCGCCUGGGGAGUACGGUCGCAAGAUUA
Molecule: ribosomal RNA, 373 nt
Filed under: uncultured organism
Description: partial 16S ribosomal RNA
Rfam family: Bacterial small subunit ribosomal RNA
Source: RNAcentral